GCGAGUGAAGCGGGAAGAGCUCAAAUUUGUAAUCUGGCACUUUCAGUGUCCGAGUUGUAAUCUCGAGAAGUGUUUUCCGCGCUGGACCGCAUACAAGUCUGUUGGAAUACAGCGUCAUAGUGGUGAGAACCCCGUAACUGAUGCGGAUGCCCAGUGCUUUGUGAUACACUUUCGAAGAGUCGAGUUGUUUGGGAAUGCAGCUCAAAUUGGGUGGUAAAUUCCAUCUAAAGCUAAAUAUUGGCGAGAGACCGAUAGCGAACAAGUACCGUGAGGGAAAGAUGAAAAGCACCUUGGAAAGGGAGUUAACAGUACGUGAAAUUGUUGGAAGGGAAACGCUUGAAGUCAGACUUGCUAUGUGGAUUUAUUCGCUUCGCAGGCCAGCAUCAGUUUCUGGGGGUGGAAAAGGGUUUGGAGAAGGUAGCAACUCCGGUUGUGUUAUAGCUCCUUGCUGGAUUCAUCUUUGGGGACUGAGGAACGCAGCGCGCUUUUUGCAAGGCUCUCGAGCUUUUCGCGCUUAGGAUGCUGGUGGAAUGGCUUUAAACGACCC
RNAcentral lists this ribosomal RNA (547 nucleotides) under Rhodotorula sp. GJ12L04. RNAcentral's name for it is "eukaryotic LSU rRNA". It matches the Rfam family "Eukaryotic large subunit ribosomal RNA", at positions 89 to 650 of the family's 3401-position model. The record is from RNAcentral. Lineage: Eukaryota; Fungi; Basidiomycota; Microbotryomycetes; Sporidiobolales; Sporidiobolaceae.